GCUUUCGUGGUGUAGUGGUCAGCACGUUCGACCCGUGUUCGAGAGGUCUGGGGUUCAAGUCCCGGUGAGUGUA
RNAcentral lists this transfer RNA (73 nucleotides) under Stegodyphus mimosarum. It matches the Rfam family "tRNA". From Rfam's summary of the family: Transfer RNA (tRNA) molecules are approximately 80 nucleotides in length. Their secondary structure includes four short double-helical elements and three loops (D, anti-codon, and T loops). The record is from Rfam by way of RNAcentral. Lineage: Eukaryota; Metazoa; Arthropoda; Arachnida; Araneae; Eresidae.